Molecule: ribosomal RNA, 253 nt
Filed under: uncultured bacterium
Lineage: Bacteria
Description: partial 16S ribosomal RNA
Rfam family: Bacterial small subunit ribosomal RNA
Source: RNAcentral
UACGUAGGGUGCGAGCGUUAAUCGGAAUUACUGGGCGUAAAGCGUGCGCAGGCGGUUUUGUAAGCCAGGUGUGAAAUCCCCGGGCUCAACCUGGGAAUGGCAUUUGGGACUGCAAGGCUGGAGUGCGGCAGAGGAGACUGGAAUUCCUGGUGUAGCAGUGAAAUGCGUAGAUAUCAGGAGGAACACCGAUGGCGAAGGCAGCCCCCUGGGUCAAGACUGACGCUCAUGCACGAAAGCGUGGGGAGCAAACAGG